CAGCAGCCGCGGUAAUACGAAGGGGGCUAGCGUUGCUCGGAAUUACUGGGCGUAAAGCGCACGCAGGCGGUUUGUUAAGUCAGAUGUGAAAUCCCCGAGCUUAACUUGGGAACUGCAUUUGAAACUGGCAGGCUAGAGUCUUGUAGAGGGGGGUGGAAUUCCGCGUGUAGCAGUGAAAUGCGUAGAUAUGCGGAGGAACACCGAUGGCGAAGGCAGCCCCCUGGGCCAAUACUGACGCUCAUGCACGAAAGCGUGGGGAGCAAACAGGAUUAGAUACCCCGGUAGUCCCUGUCUCUUAUAC
This 301-nucleotide ribosomal RNA is filed under the name uncultured bacterium. RNAcentral describes it as "partial 16S ribosomal RNA". It matches the Rfam family "Bacterial small subunit ribosomal RNA", at positions 509 to 807 of the family's 1533-position model. The record is from RNAcentral.